GGCCUGUUUGAGCAGGCAUUGCAAAUCUUAAAAACAAUAAGAUGAAUAAUCAUCACUGUUUGAUCACUGCCAUUUAUUGAGUACCUUCUCCAUGGCAGAUGCUAAGAUAAGACCUAACAUGCAUCAUCUCUGAUUUUACAAGUCUUCGAGGUUGCAGCCAUGAAAAUGCCCUGGUCAGCCAUGAUUGACCAUGACAGGGGUACUAGUGCAGGCCUGUUCCUGCUGGACAUGGAACCCCUCUAAUGGCUUAAGGACUCCCACUGGCUGGCAGAAACUUUCUUAGAACAACACUGUAGUCUAAGACUCUUCCUACUGAAUUCUCUUUCCUUCUCCCUCUCCUUUCAUGGGGGUCAGGCCUGCACUGCAGUCUGGGGCUUCCUCUGCCUACUUCAGUUCCUUCCUGAACAUUUUACAGGUGUUUCCCCCAAUAAUUCUCUUAUAUGCCUAAUCCCAUCUUGGUGCCUGCAUCUCGAAGGAACUAACACAGUGGACAGGAGUCCCAUUUUGCAGACAGACACUGGAUCAAUGAUGAAGUUACUUGUGUAAGUCCUACAGCCAACAAAUGUUAAGAGCUGGGGUUGUGUGCAGGUAUGUUUGAUUCCACAAGCCAAGUCUUAGAAGCAUACUAGGCUUCCUCUCUAAUGAUCUAUGCAGGCUUAACUGUGAGGACAGGGAGUGAUGACACAUUUCAGUUUGGCCCCUUUGUUUUGUCGAUGAGAAACCUGAGACCAGUGAGGGAAAGGAUUCGCCCAUGGGUGCCAGUGGGAGGGGUGCACCUGGGCUGUGCACAGCCAUUUCCCUCCUUUGGAGGCUGAGGGAGGAGGUCACAGGGAGGCCUCAGGGUAUGGAGGGAGGUCAGGCUGGGGGGCUUAGUGUCUGACCCACCAGCCUGGCAGGCGGGAAUGUGCCUGUAGAAGCCCACGGCCCUCUUGGGGAGAAGCCAUGAAGUGAGGACUGAGUGCUGCCUGGAGGUGCUGGCUGGGAUGCACAGGGAAGAGCUGUCAGGGUAUGGGUCUAACACUGGAACAGCUGGGGGACAUUCCCUGGAUAUCCCUGCAUUGCCUUGAGGCUCUCCCAUCCCUGUUUGAUCCGUAAGCUCCAAGGAGACAUGUUUCCCAGCCAUAAUGCCUUCUGAUCCCAAUCUCUUCUACUCUUUUCAUUGGCAAGAGUCAUUCUCACCCGGGUUUUCUUAUAUAAUAAUUAUAAACUCAUUCAGGGCCUGUGAGUGAAAAGGCACACAUAUACAUUCAGGUCUAAUAUUCACUGAGCAACCAUCAGCACAAUGGUAUGUGACCUCUUUGAAUGCUGCACUAAUGCUCCACUGUCUAGAAGGAGGCCAGACUGCUCUGGGGACCAGGUGCAGAGGGUGCCCUCAAGUGUCUAGUGUCAGAGAGAGAGGGGCUACUCCACUUUGGCCAGGGUGAACUUGAGUUGGUGAUGACAAACAUCUGCAGCUAGUCUAUUUUUCUAAUCUCACCCUCCAAACAGCCCCAUCUUCUUGCAGGGAGGAUGGGUGAAGGCAUUUUCAAAAAUGGACAUCACAUGUGACAAACAGGCAAAGGACCCUGACAGAGCCACAAAACUGACACGCUCAUGAAAACUCAGACCGCUGACAAUGGUGAGCGCCGACCAAUUCAGCGCCAGGCGUGGAGGCUUCUGGCAAGAGUGGUGGGCUCUGUGCGUCCUGAUGGUGGCAGCAGAGACCAGCUUGGGAGCCACCUGGCUCCUCUGCCCUAGCCCAUUAUGGCCUGAAUCCAAUCAAUUUCAGUUCUCAGCACUUCUGAAAACGUGCGUGGCUUAGAGUGUCUGGCAGGGCUCAGGAGAGAAAAGCAUUUCUCAGCCCCGGGACACAUAUAUGCCUCCAGGCACUGGUUGUGGCUUGCAAUCUGGGAGGGCAGGUGAACGGACACCCUCCCUCCUUGCACAGGCCUGGGAUCUGCCUUACUCAACUCCCACUUCUACCAGGAGCAGAGGAUCACCGCUGCCCAGCACCCCGCCCAUCUGAAUUCUGACUCUGGUGGCUUCAGAGAAGCAAGGUAGGGGCCAGUGCUGGUAUGAAAUGCCAGAUGAGAGGAAACUGAUGCAUGCACUUUACUCCUGACUCAGAGUGCCUGAAAUAUCUGGCAAACUGGCAAAGGAUGAAACCCUUCUUUGAGGUCUGUAGAGUAGCUUUAAGAUAAAUGAAGCCACUGAGAAGGUCCAAAACAAGGGGCCCUUAGACGUGGAAGAGGUCUGCUUUCCUGAUAACUAGAGUGGUGCUGGGCUAUGAAAACAGUCCAAAUAGAUGAGGAUAGUUCCUGAGAGCACAGGGUUCUGAAGCUGGACAAAUAUUCUUCCACCUUAAUGGCCCUCUCACUGGAGCCUUCACAGGGUUAACGAUGGUCCCGCAGGAGUUGGGGCCAUGACUGAGGACAUGGAGCUGAUGUGGAGGCAGUCAGGGCCAAGGCAAGAGCCUCCUUGUGUAUAGUGGAAACGCAAGACAGACAUCAAAGGGAGUGGGGUGUGCGGUUCCCAAGGGGCUACCAGAGUCCACUUUUAUUAAAAGUUUGUGUCUUUCUUUAGAAAGUAAUAUGUUCCAUCUCCAGCACCUGAAGGCUCCUUUCAGGGUGCCAGAAGAAUCCUCAAGGGACAGUCCCAGGCUGUGUCCUUCCUCCUGUCUUGGCUGACAUUUUUAUGCAUGGUUUAGGCAGCCCAUGGGCUUUCCAGCUUUGCAAUAAGAUCUGAUCUAAUUUCAAGCUUAUACAUAACAGAAGGGCUGGGGGAGAAGUAGGAGUUCUUUUAGAAUUGCAAAAUCCAGGUGGGUGUAGCCUGUGGGGUGCAGGCUAUCCAGCUCAAAGAGGGAGGCCCAUAUCUCAGAUUCCCUAAUGCUCGGCACAGUGUCUGGCACACAAUGGGCACACAGGAAAUCCUGCACUGAAUCAAACAGAUUUUGUAUUACCAGAUCUAGGCUGACUCACUGUGUGGUCAGGACCUUGGGUCAAUCACUUCACCUGGUGACUCACUCCCUACCUGUAAGGUGUGGAGGACAGCUGGAGUCACUGUGGCACCUGUGUGUUUAGCAGUGUGUUUGCUUGUUCCUGCUUUUAUGUCUCUGGCUGGUCUAAGAUGGAAUGAUAAAAAAAUAACGGAAUGCACUUUGUAAACGAGAGCAUCCUAGACACAUGUAAAGAUUGGAAAAUUAGAAAGCUGUCUCUACUGUAGUUACUUCUCAGAUAUGACCAACCAUUAUUAAGAAUUCAUUGGCUAAUAGGGCUACAUUUUCUCAUGAUCAUUCUUCUGUUUUAGAAGUGGGCAACUGCAGUUUUAAGAAUAAAUGUGUAAAUGUGUGUUUUCAUGAGAGACAAUAAAGCUGUUUUCAUUAAGAAUGAAAUAUGCAACUUGCAAACACUUUUACUUUUCUUGAAUUGGGUCCUUCAGCAGAAGCAGUUUGCCCAGCCCUGACAUGGAAAGUUUACUUUGCUCAUCAACCUGAAGGAGACCGAAAGCUAUGAGAGGCGGCUCCUGAAAAGAAUCUAGACUCCGGAUAUAAAAAGAUCUUGCAACACAAGGCCAAGUGGAAAUCAUGGUUCGCAUUAAAGGCAUAAACCUCCUGCACUAACAACCCAGAGCAGGAGGAAAAGCUGGGAGACCUGGCUCAGCAGCCUUCCCUGAGGGAAGCCUUCGGGGCUUUGUUCCUCUUGAGAUCAGGGCAAGCCUAUGUAUGACCUGAAGCCAAUACAACCAGCAGAGCUGAUGCCAGUGCUGGCUGCCUGAGUGCUACUAAAGAAAGAGUCCACCAUCGGCUCCCUCUUCCGUAGCCAGACACAGGUGGAAUGCUGUGCUUCCUUUUGGGAGACAAAGCAGAAGCUACCCCAGAGGGGGCAGAUGGGAGACAGGCCCAGGCAAUGCAGCCCUACAAAGAAGACUUGAAGGGCCGGGGCUGAGCAGCUUGGAUGAAGAGAAGGCUGCCUUUCAGAGCUGUUUCAAAUGUUUCAGACGUUGCUAGACAAACUAGAGUUGUAUGGCUUCAGAUGGCACAGCUUAGGGCCAUAGAGUGGGAAUCACAAGAAGGCAAACUUUAGGCCCCCAGGAGAGCUGGACAACAACCUGGAGGGUCAGAGGAGAAUGGGCUGUCCAAGGAGCGGGGAUAUGAGGGUGGGGCAGUGUGGCCAUCCCUGGAAGGGGUAAGGGAGUGGCAGAUGGUAACCAUUUGGGGUGGGGUGUGGCUGAGGAUUCCUGCAAGGCUAUCAGAGAAACUCUAAGAAUCAUAAGAAUCAAAGCUCAAGUACAUGAGGGAAGACAUAAUGAAAUCCCUAAAGUUCUGAGAGGUUGUACCAGAUUCUUUAUGGAGAAUACAGAGAGAAUGCCUCCUGACUCCUCAUUCACAGAGUGCCAGGCAGCAGCAAGGAGAAGCUGGUGGCCUUGGGAGGGCAAAAACUAAGGACAAGGUCCACAAUGCAAUCAGCUCACAUCACCUACGAACAAAUAAAGUGGGGUGGGGGUGGAGAGUUGCUAGAGUUUACGUAACUCUCAAGCCUUAAUUUAGCUGCAAGAACUAGGUUUUUGCCAAAGCUAUAGAACUUCCCACCAGAUGAAAGCUUUAUCUCUUUUUCUUUCUUAGGAGAAGAGAGACAGAAGGAGAGAAGAGGGGCAGGAGGAGAGAAAACACAAGAAAGAGGAUGGAAGAUAAAGAGGAAGGCCAGAGUGAGGCAGGAGAAAGCUGAGCUGGAACCUAACUCCUGUUGAUCUGCUGCAGAGACCCUCUCAUUCCACAAUUGCUCCCGCCAUGCCAAGGAGACAAGCUCAACAUACAAAGAACAAGGAGAGAACAAUGGAAGAUGGCCUAUAAUUCAGAAGCACAUUGGGUGGAGCAUAUUGCACAUGUAGAAGCUUGUCACGGAACCCAAGAAAGCUGGAGGAACCUGGGAAGGCUUCCUGGAAGAAGGGAAAGCUGAGUUCUCUUAUCACCACUCCACCAUUUGUUCAUGUCCUCAUGUACAUAUUCAACAAACAUUUAUUGAGGGCUGAGUGUGGCUUUGUGUAUCCCAGAUAAACUAGUAUCCUGAUCUUAGCCAUGGAUCUCAGCUGCUACUAUCUCAUUCCCCACCAUGGGCAAUAAGAUGCAUACUGGUAGGGAAAAUUCUGGCAAAUUUUGUAAAGUUUAUCCAUAGGCAUAAACACUUUACCCUGUGUUAUGCUCAGAAGAGGAACACACAUUUAUUAAGCACCUACCACAUCUGCAAAUAACUUUACUCCCAAAAACUGAUUUGAUACUUAAGCAGCUUUUGUAAGGUGUGUUUCAUUCCCUAAAACUAAAGUUCAGAGAGGUUAAAAGAUUUAUCCAAGGUCACACAUUCAAGGUGGAGCCAAGAUGCACAACUAAGUCUAUUACUGUUUUUUUCAUACUCCCCCACUUCUCUGUCUCCCUCUUUCUAUUCUCAGCUGCAGACUCUGCCAGCUGCAAACUUCUUUAGUAGUUAUUCCUGAUUACUUCUGCUCCUGGUGAGCUCAUCACCUGAUUAAAGGGCUCCUAGCUUCACCAGACCUUGGAGAUGACAAACAGAUGACCCUGGAGAGGCAGGCUCUCUAGGGCUGUUCCAUUUUGGUCUGGCCCCCAUUCCAGCCGGGGAUAUAGUUCAAACCCUGACUCUGAGUUGAGCCCAAGAAAAUAAGACCAAGAUGAAAGCUUAAGUGCAUCCCCUGAAAGGCUCUUAUCUCCAGGCUAAGCUUGGAAGUGGGGAGACAGAGCACCACAACCCAACUUGGGGAUGUUGUCUCUUGUAGAAACACCUUCCUCAGUAACAGAAGGGUAGCUGCCCCUAUGUCCUAGAGAGCGGGAGUAAGAGAAAGUGGCUCCUUGCCUCUGAGAUUUGCUUAGCUGAUCCUCCCUCACCCCAACCAUAGCUCUUAACAAACCCAGGUACGCAUAAAUAUAAAUACCACCCUAUGUGUAUUUCCUGUGCCCUCCCUUUUCUCUUUCCUGAGGAGUUAUGGAGAGAAAAUAAAUGCCAGAAUUACAGAAAACUAGGUAUAAAUCUACUCACUAGCUUUAUGGCCUUGCAUCUAUUUCCCAUAUAAGCUGGCAGGGUUGGGAUUCUGUCUAGCUCUUUCCAUUUAUCAUGAUGUCCUCUUUUUGGUUCUUUUAGAUUUUGCAUCGGGUUGAUGUAGUGGAUGCUGUAGUCCACUACCCAGAUUCCUUCCCCAACCCACAACAAUGAGGUUCUCAUUCCGGAGCUGCUAGGAGGGAUGCCAGAUAAUAGCACACAGCUGAACUUCUCUUCAGCUAUUGCCCUCAGAUUAAGAAAGCUGCCUUGCUCAAGGUUACACGCCUUUCCUGGGAAACCAGUAUCCAAUGACUGGUUCCUGUAAAAGGAAUGGAGCUGCCUUAAAAGAGCUGCCUUGCUUCAAUUUGGGAAGACUAUGAAGAGCCAUCCCAGCUCUGGAGUUCUCCGUAGGGUUGGGUUUUUGAGACUAUGCAGAAGUUAUUCCAUGAGUUCCAAGCCCAGGUCAUGAAAGAUAACUUGUAAUAAAUCUGGCUACCCUGAAGCUGCCAUGCUUGAGAGACCACACGAGAUGGAGAGAGAUGCUUAGGAGUCCCAGCUGUCCAAGCCUCCAGCUAUGUGAAUCUUCCCAGCAGCAACUGCCAGACAUGUGGUACACCCAAAAUGACUUUGGGGCUACACUUGGAAUUGGCAAGGUUCCAGAAAACAGAGGGACUAUCAUCAGAGACAGCGCACAAAAAGUGGGAGAAAGGUCACCAGCCUCACUCAUGUUUAGGGCUAUUAUGAAUAAAGCUGCUAUGAACACUUGUUUACAAGUUCUUUGUGAGGACACAUGUUUUCAUUUAUCUUGGGAAAAUACCUAGAGAUGGAACUCUGGGACACAUGGUAAUAAAGUAUAUUGGCAUAAUGCAAGAGUCAAGAUGCAGAAAAUAACUACUGUGUGAUGUCUCUCUCCCAGCUUUAACCCGCCUGAAGGGCAGCACUGAGUUCAACACACUGUCCCACAAUUGUUGCACUCUCACACUGAAGUGAACAGAUUCUUUCUCCGUGCCGUGCAGCUCCCGGCAGAGGAUGAGGGAAGGGUACCAUCGGUGAUUCAGCACUGUGUUUCCUAUCCUCUUCAAUGACUCUUUCAGCGAUAUGAAGGUAAAACCAGUUAGGUGAAUGGAGCACAUGGCUAUGCUUUGUUUUAAAUGAAAGUCUUUGUCAUCCAGCGGAGGACUUUAAUUCAUUUACAUUUAUUGACAUAAAUGUUGACUUGAAAGCGUGUGUCAGAUCCCUUCACUAUAUCUUCAGACCUGCCCCAAGGAGUGAGGAAGGGCAACACCAAGAACUUCUCUCCAAGGACCAUAACCUGCGAACCCCAUCUCACCUCCUCCUGCCAGAUGGACACAGUCAUUGUCCUCCUGGCUGAUCCCAUGUCCAUGUCUUGCUCUGGCUACUUUCAUACACCCAUAAUGACAUUUUCCAUCUACUCAAUUUUUUAAAAGCUCAGCUCGAACCUCACGGAUUUUCCUGACAAUCUGCUUCUCUCAAUGGCCUUAAUUUAAGUGAGGGUUGUCAGUCUUACUGGGUCUCGUUUUUUGUCUUAAAUAAUAACUAUUUAUGGGUAUCAAGUGUCUCCUCAAUUUGGCUAUGAUCCUUCACGGCAGAAAUACUGUCUUAUCUUGUGAUCAUGGAGUCACAAGAUUUCAUGGCUAGGAAUAUUCGUCAAAUUAAUCCUAGAUUGAGGAUCAGGUAGUAUGUGGUCUGAUUCUAACUCAACAACUUGCAGAAACUCACUUCUUUUUUCUUUUUUUUUCCCCAGGAGGAGCUAUCGUAUUAACUGACGAAACUCACUUCAUUUCUUUGGACCUGCAAAAUGAGGAUGGGCUCUAAACCACCUCUAAAGUUAAUAUUCUAUGAUUCCAUGAUAAGGCUAUUUGUCAUUUAUAAAAAAAGGAACUUCCACAUAGCCCAGAGAAAGGAAAUGACUUUUUCAAGUUUACAGAGUCAAUUAAUGGACGAAAUGUAAUUUGAAAUUCAAUCUCCUGAUCCCCAGUCUAUUGGGAGUUCUUUCAGAAUGUCCCUUGACUGUCCCUCAAAGUGCCAGCAUGUAUGAAACCUUGUUAAGGAUGUAUGCUCAAUGAAAAUACACAAAUUGACUUAACAAGAAACUAAACUCUCCAGAAAGAUGCAGUUGACCCAAAACUCUGAAUAUCUUUUAUGUUUAAAACUUUCUUUUUUGAACAAAAUUGUACAGUUACUUCUCUAUUUCAACUCUUAAGCCUUUUAUGCCACGUCAAAGGUUAGCUCUCUUUUCUCUCUGUUAAUAAAGUCUUAUUCUUGACUUUGGAACUGUA
This 8323-nucleotide long non-coding RNA is filed under the name Homo sapiens (human). Its description in RNAcentral is "HSALNT0314761". Lineage: Eukaryota; Metazoa; Chordata; Mammalia; Primates; Hominidae. The record is from RNAcentral.